Molecule: non-coding RNA, 940 nt
Filed under: Hyperolius ocellatus (golden-eyed reed frog)
Lineage: Eukaryota; Metazoa; Chordata; Amphibia; Anura; Hyperoliidae
Description: 12S ribosomal RNA
Rfam family: Bacterial small subunit ribosomal RNA
Source: RNAcentral
CCAAAGGCCUGGUCCAUUACCUUAUUAUCAGCUAAUACAUAAUUUAUACAUGCAAGUAUCCGCAUCCCAGUGAGAACACCCAACCCCUCAAUCAGGACAAGGAGCCGGUAUCAGGCCCAGAGAAUUCUAGCCCACUACACCUAGCCCAAGCCACACCCUCAAGGGCAUUCAGCAGUAAUAAACCUUGUACAUAAGCGAAAGCUUGAAUCAGUUAUAGUAUAUCAGAGCCGGCAAAUUCGGUGCCAGCCGCCGCGGCUACACCGCGAAGCUCAAGUUGAUAAGAACGGCGUCAAACGUGUUUAAAGUUAACCCCCACUAGAGUUAAACACUUAGUCAUUUAGUAAAAUGCUGAUUAUUUGGAGAAUCAUAAACGAAAGUUACUCUAAAAAUAUAACUUGAAUCCACGACAGCUGAGAAACAAACUGGGAUUAGAUACCCCACUAUGCUCAGCCGUAAAAUAUUAUUUACAAUAAAACCGCCAAAGAAUUACGAGCGCAAGCUUAAAACUUAAAGGACUUGACGGUGUCCCAUCUACCUAGAGGAGCCUGUUCUAUAAUCGAUAACCCUCGCUAUACCUCACCCUUUCUAGCUUAUCAGUCUGUAUACUUCCGCCGUAAGCUUACCGUAUGAACGUAUUAGUAAGCUAAAUAGUUAAACUACCAAGACGUCAGGUCAAAGUGCAGCUUACAAAAGGGGAAGAAAUGGGCUACAAUUUCUAUUUAAGAACAUACGAAUUUAAACAAUUGAAAAUUGUUAUGAAGGCGGAUUUAGAAGUAAAGUGAAAAUAAAAUGUUUACUUUAAUUAUGCUCUGGGACGCGUACACACCGCCCGUCAUCCUCCUCAAUAUACUUCUAAAAAUAAAUAAUAAAUAAGGUAAGUAUAUGAUAUGAAGAGGCAAGUCGUAACACGGUAAGUAUACUGGAAAGUGUGCUUGGACAU